AAGCGGUGGAGCAUGUGGUUUAAUUCGAUGCAACGCGAAGAACCUUACCUGGCUUGACAUCCCGGGAAUCCCCUGGAAACAGGGGAGUGCCCUUCGGGGAACCCGGUGACAGGUGCUGCAUGGCUGUCGUCAGCUCGUGUCGUGAGAUGUUGGGUUAAGUCCCGCAACGAGCGCAACCCUCGUCCUUAGUUGCCAUCAUUAAGUUUGGGCACUCUAAGGAAACCGCCGGUGAUAAGCCGGAGGAAGGUGGGAUGACGUCAAGUCCUCAUGGCCCUUACAGGCUGGGCUACACACGUGCUACAAUGGCGGUGACAGUGGGCAGCCACUCCGCGAGGAGGAGCUAAUCCCAAAAAGCCGUCUCAGUUCGGAUUGUUCUCUGCAACUCGAGAGCAUGAAGGCGGAAUCGCUAGUAAUCGCGGAUCAGCAUGCCGCGGUGAAUACGUUCCCAGGCCUU
This 454-nucleotide ribosomal RNA is filed under the name uncultured Novosphingobium sp. RNAcentral's name for it is "bacterial SSU rRNA". It matches the Rfam family "Bacterial small subunit ribosomal RNA", at positions 927 to 1382 of the family's 1533-position model. The record is from RNAcentral. Lineage: Bacteria; Pseudomonadati; Pseudomonadota; Alphaproteobacteria; Sphingomonadales; Sphingomonadaceae.